This 253-nucleotide ribosomal RNA is filed under the name uncultured bacterium. RNAcentral describes it as "partial 16S ribosomal RNA". It matches the Rfam family "Bacterial small subunit ribosomal RNA", at positions 524 to 776 of the family's 1533-position model. The record is from RNAcentral.
UACGGAGGAUGCAAGCGUUAUCCGGAAUGAUUGGGCGUAAAGCGUCCGCAGGUGGCUAUGUAAGUCUGCUGUUAAAGAGUGAGGCUCAACCUCAUAAGAGCAGUGGAAACUACAUAGCUAGAGUACGGUCGGGGUAGAAGGAAUUCCUGGUGUAGCGGUGAAAUGCGUAGAGAUCAGGAAGAACACCGGUGGCGAAAGCGUUCUGCUAGACCUGUACUGACACUGAGGGACGAAAGCUAGGGGAGCGAAUGGG